CAGCCGCCGCGGUAAUACGAAGGGGGCUAGCGUUGUUCGGAUUUACUGGGCGUAAAGCGCACGUAGGCGGAUCGAUCAGUCAGGGGUGAAAUCCCAGAGCUCAACUCUGGAACUGCAUUUGAUACUGUGUUGCUUGAGUUCGGGAGAGGUGAGUGGAAUUCCCAGUGUAGAGGUGAAAUUCGUAGAUAUUGGGAAGAACACCGGUGGCGAAGGCGGCUCACUGGACCGACACUGACGCUGAGGCGCGAAAGCGUGGGGAGCAAACAGGAUUAGAUACCCGGGUAGUCCCUGUCUCUUAUAC
This 301-nucleotide ribosomal RNA is filed under the name uncultured bacterium. RNAcentral describes it as "partial 16S ribosomal RNA". It matches the Rfam family "Bacterial small subunit ribosomal RNA", at positions 509 to 807 of the family's 1533-position model. The record is from RNAcentral.